This 461-nucleotide ribosomal RNA is filed under the name uncultured bacterium. Its description in RNAcentral is "SSU rRNA". It matches the Rfam family "Bacterial small subunit ribosomal RNA", at positions 26 to 518 of the family's 1533-position model. The record is from RNAcentral.
AGAGCGAACGCUGGCGGCAGGCCUAAUACAUGCAAGUCGAACGGACCCUUCGGGGUUAGUGGCGGACGGGUGAGUAACACGUGGGAACGUGCCCUUUGGUUCGGAACAACUCAGGGAAACUUGAGCUAAUACCGAAUGUGCCCCCUCCUUUGAUUAGGGGGGUGGGAAAGAUUUAUCGCCAUUGGAGCGGCCCGCGUCUGAUUAGCUAGUUGGUGGGGUAAAGGCCCACCAAGGCUACGAUCAGUAGCUGGUCUGAGAGGAUGAUCAGCCACACUGGGACUGAGACACGGCCCAGACUCCUACGGGAGGCAGCAGUAGGGAAUCUUGCGCAAUGGGCGAAAGCCUGACGCAGCCAUGCCGCGUGAAUGAUGAAGGUCUUAGGAUUGUAAAAUUCUUUCAGCGGGGACGAUAAUGACGGUACCCGCAGAAGAAGCCCCGGCUAACUUCGUGCCAGCAGCCGC